CCUACGGGUGGCAGCAGUGGGGAAUAUUGGGCAAUGGGCGCAAGCCUGACCCAGCAACGCCGCGUGAAGGAAGAAGGCUUUCGGGUUGUAAACUUCUUUUCUCAGGGACGAAGCAAGUGACGGUACCUGAGGAAUAAGCCACGGCUAACUACGUGCCAGCAGCCGCGGUAAUACGUAGGUGGCAAGCGUUGUCCGGAUUUACUGGGUGUAAAGGGCGUGCAGCCGGAGAGACAAGUCAGAUGUGAAAUCCACGGGCUCAACCCGUGAACUGCAUUUGAAACUGUUUCCCUUGAGUGUCGGAGAGGUAAUCGGAAUUCCUUGUGUAGCGGUGAAAUGCAUAGAUAUCACGCAGAACUCCGAUUGCGAAGGCAGCAUACCGGCGCUCAACUGACGCUCAUGCACGAAAGUGUGGGUAUCGAACAGGAUUAGAUACCCUAGUAGUC
Molecule: ribosomal RNA, 443 nt
Filed under: uncultured bacterium
Lineage: Bacteria
Description: partial 16S ribosomal RNA
Rfam family: Bacterial small subunit ribosomal RNA
Source: RNAcentral